CACCUGAUUGAUUUUGGUCGCCAACGAGUGGCGGACGGGUGAGUAACACGUAGGUAACCUGCCCAGAAGCGGGGGACAACAUUUGGAAACAGAUGCUAAUACCGCAUAACAGCGUUGUUCGCAUGAACAACGCUUAAAAGAUGGCUUCUCGCUAUCACUUCUGGAUGGACCUGCGGUGCAUUAGCUUGUUGGUGGGGUAAUGGCCUACCAAGGCGAUGAUGCAUAGCCGAGUUGAGAGACUGAUCGGCCACAAUGGGACUGAGACACGGCCCAUACUCCUACGGGAGGCAGCAGUAGGGAAUCUUCCACAAUGGGCGCAAGCCUGAUGGAGCAACACCGCGUGAGUGAAGAAGGGUUUCGGCUCGUAAAGCUCUGUUGUUAAAGAAGAACACGUAUGAGAGUAACUGUUCAUACGUUGACGGUAUUUAACCAGAAAGUCACGGCUAACUACGUGCCAGCAGCCGCGGUAAUACGUAGGUGGCAAGCGUUAUCCGGAUUUAUUGGGCGUAAAGAGAGUGCAGGCGGUUUUCUAAGUCUGAUG
This 541-nucleotide ribosomal RNA is filed under the name Limosilactobacillus fermentum. Its description in RNAcentral is "bacterial SSU rRNA". It matches the Rfam family "Bacterial small subunit ribosomal RNA", at positions 65 to 594 of the family's 1533-position model. Lineage: Bacteria; Bacillati; Bacillota; Bacilli; Lactobacillales; Lactobacillaceae. The record is from RNAcentral.